Molecule: ribosomal RNA, 256 nt
Filed under: Sephina geniculata
Lineage: Eukaryota; Metazoa; Arthropoda; Insecta; Hemiptera; Coreidae
Description: partial large subunit ribosomal RNA
Source: RNAcentral
UUAAUUUGAAUUUUAUGAAUUUGAUUUUUUAGUUAAAAAGCUAAGAUUUAUUUGCAAGACGAGAAGACCCUAUAGAAUUUUAUUUGUUAUAUUAUUUAUUUAAUGUUUUGUUAAUAAGGUUAUAUAGUUGUUGAUAAAUUUUGUUGGGGCGAUAUUGAAACUUAAUUAACUUUCAAUUAUUUAUUUUCAUAGAUUAAUGUUUUAUUUGAUCCUUAUUUAUUAGGUUUAUAAGAUUAAAUUACCUUAGGGAUAACAG